Molecule: long non-coding RNA, 314 nt
Organism: Octopus sinensis (East Asian common octopus)
Lineage: Eukaryota; Metazoa; Mollusca; Cephalopoda; Octopoda; Octopodidae
Exons: 2
Source: RefSeq, a predicted model, not a curated record
UGUUUCACUGGUACUUAUUUUAUCAACCCUGAAAGGAUGAAAGGCAAAGUCAACCUCAACAGAAUUUGAACUCAGAAUGUAAAGCCAAAAGAAAUGCCACAAAGCAUUUUGACUGGUGUACUAACUAUUUGGCCAGCUUGCCACCAUCAACAAUUAAAAAAAAUAAAUAAUUAAACAGUGUUUUGCCCUAAAGUAGUCAUUAUUUCAAAAUAUCCAGGACCAUUUUUUAUUAGCUAAAAUUUUAACUCUUCUCAUACCAACUCACCAGAGACUGCUUUUGGUUCUAUAAUAUAAACUUCUUGUUUUUAAGUGAU